CCCCCGGGGAAACACCCCGUGUGCUCUCAGUGACAACAGGGUGACCAACAUUUUUCUGAAUCCAACCUAUUUCUUCAGUAUCUUGGAGUUUGAGGUGGAACACCACUUCCUCCCUGGGACAGGUGCACACAGCCUGUCUCCCUCUGGGACGGAAACAGGAGAGGCCCCACCCCCACCCAGCCCAGCCACCGCCCAGGCCCGCAGGCAUCAGAGCUGCUGGGGCGUCAGAGCUGCAGGGGGGCGUCAGAGCUGCCGGGGCGUCAGAGCUGCGGGGGGCGUCAGAGCUGCCGGGGCACCCGGGAGGACACGGUGGCCAUUGCUGGUCCCCAAACACGGGGAUGGCGGCAGGAUGGGCUCCGGCGGCUCCUUUGCCCGCGGCUCACACGGGAGGCCACGCUCCAGGGCCAGAGCCCAGUCCCCCCGCCCCCUGCCCGGCCCCACCCGGCCCCACGCAGCCCGGGCUUGGCAUUCGCCUGGCUCAGCUGUGACCCCGCUUCAUUCGUGGGAAAAGGCUACGCCAGGAUCUCCGUGUGCCCGGGGCCUCGGGACCACGGCCCGCGCUGUCUGCCUCCGGCUGGCCGGCGUGAGCGGCUGGGCCCACCUGCUCAGGCGGCAGCGCUGCCUCCCCGGCUCCCAGAGCACCGGCCAGGCCUGCACGUGAGCUCGGUCCCGUGAUCUCCCGCCGCCGCCCGUCUCUCCCUGAGGCCGGCAGCAGGCAUCUGACCCGCUGACCCUCACCGUGCCAGCCCCCAGCCCGCGAGAAGCGCCCUGCCUGGCGUGAGGUGAGAGGCUCCGGGGAGGAUGCUCGUGGUCAGGGAGCCUCCAGCCCACACCGGGGAGAGUGACGACCCCCGGGGACGCUGAGCUCCGGCAGCUGGGGACAGGGCAGGGCCGCUCCGGGACCCUUAACCUGGGAUGGAGCCGCCACCCCCAGGCCGAGAAGCCAGAAACCCCUUCGCCAAGAGGCGGCCGCCCAGCGCUGACCAGACACCCACCCGCCUCCUCUCGUGGCUGCGGCCCCGCCCAGCCAGAGGGCCGGGUCCCCAGAGCACCCCCAGGAUGGCAGGCACCCGCCUCCAUGCCCAGCACCUGCCAGCCUCUGCCCUGGAUGGCGCCCCCGCCCAGUGCGCCCCUCUGAGCCCUCCACCCUGGCGAAACCCCCAGGCCCCCGAGAAGGAUGGAGACGGGUCCCCGCGAGGUCUGGGGGUGCCCGCGGCACACCUACCGUGACGAGCUGCUGCACCGAGUCGCUGACGUACAGCAUGUUCUGUCAACUGCCCGCAUCCAACAACAAAACGGCGCCCACCCCUUACUCCUCAUGACUAUUCAUCGGCCCAGGCAGGCCUCGGCUUGCCCACUGCUGAGCUGGACCGCACCACGGAGGCCGCAGGAGGGGCGGCGCCGGGCCAGCGCCGGGCUCAUAAUGAAGCCACACCUGCUCCCUCUGAGAUGCCGCCCACCGGGGGCCCUGAGGGGCACGAGCUGCACCCCUGAGCACAAGGGACUGGGCCUGCCUAAGCCUGCACCUCUUGCUAAGCGAGUCCCACAAUUGGGGGACCCAGAGCACCCCACCCAGGCACCUGGACACGGUGGGCAGAGAUUGGCCCAGCGGUUCCCUGACGUGGGAAGCCCACCCUCUUCGCUCCGGGCUGGGACAGGCGUGUCCUCCCCGUGUCCUCCCCAUGCCCUCCCCGCCCCAGGCCGGACACGCUCAGCAGCUCAGCAGUGGGGGCACCGCUGGAACCUAGAGUGGCCCCUCCGCCUCCAUCGCGGGCCCUCCCAGCUCCGGGCUGUGGGUCUCCCGGCCUCUGCCCUCGGGGCUCCCUGCUGGCGGUCACCACGUCAUCACAAGACCCGUCAUCACAAGACCCGAGGGCCAGGCCGGCCCGCAGCAACACUGGCUCCUGAAGCGGCAAUGUCUGCGGGUCUCGCUGCAGCCGACGGCAUCCCUACCAAGGAGCCCAGGCUCCCAGGACAGGACAGUCCACACUCACUGCCCACCCUCUGCUGGCGGCCACCCCACUCACCAUGACGGACGAGGCGGCCAUGCCUGGCAGGUGGAAGUCCAUGCCGGCCUCUGUGCCACACGCCCCCUCGCUGCUGCCCUGGCUCGCCUGGGGCAGGUCAAAGCUCGCCCCCAGGACUGCCACGUGCUGGGCAGCGAGUCCCAGGACCAGGGGCACAGCCCUGAGCUCACCCCGGGACCAGGCAGGGCACGGGGCAGGGAGGCCUGGGGACUAAGAUGGGCUCGGUGAGGACAGCCGGCCUGGGACACGCAGCUCAGAAAGUGCCGGCCACAAGCUCACUCUGCUGCAGGCUCAGAGAGGCCCCUGCAUCUUGCCAAUGGACCCUCUAAGUCCAGAGACGGAAAACAACUUAGGGAACGUCACACAGCGCGUGGACCCCGCAUCCCACCUCCCAUCCCGGUCCCACUGUUCAGAAUAAGCCGGAACAGCCCAAGCGUGCACCAGCCGACGGGUGGGUCACCAGGUUGCGGCGGGUCCACACUGCGGACGAUUGCUCGGCCACGAAGGGGGACAAAGCGCCCACACCCGCCGCACGGCCGGUGCUGCUCAGCGAGAGGAGCCGGACACCCACGGCCGCCUGGCCUGGCCUCCGCCGACCGGAGUGUCCAGGGCGGGCACAGCCGCGGGCACGGGAGGGGCUGGGGACAGAGAGAUGGGGAGUGACUGCUCGUGGGCAUGGGGUCUCCUGUGGGCUGAUGAGAAUGUUCUGGAACUGGACCGAGGUGGUGGCCACACAGCACGGUGAAGGUGCUGCAUGUCACUGACGGGGUCACCCGAAAAGGGUUCAUGUCAGAUGAUGUGACUUCCAGCACAGGAAAAACACGCUUUUAAUUUUAAACAGCGAGAGCCUGGGGCUGGGCCGGCGGGGCUCAGUGGGUGAGCUUCGACCUACGGACCAGGAGGUCAGGGUUUGAUUCCCGGUCGGGGCACUGCCUGGGUUGGGAGCUUGAUCCCCAGUGUGGGGCGUGCA
This is an RNA transcript of Myotis myotis, 2997 nucleotides long. RefSeq lists it as uncharacterized. The transcript has 8 exons. Lineage: Eukaryota; Metazoa; Chordata; Mammalia; Chiroptera; Vespertilionidae. The record is from RefSeq and is a predicted model, not a curated record.